Molecule: ribosomal RNA, 450 nt
Filed under: uncultured bacterium
Lineage: Bacteria
Description: bacterial SSU rRNA
Rfam family: Bacterial small subunit ribosomal RNA
Source: RNAcentral
GUGGGGAAUAUUGGACAAUGGGCGAAAGCCUGAUCCAGCCAUGCCGCGUGUGUGAAGAAGGUCUUCGGAUUGUAAAGCACUUUAAGUUGGGAGGAAGGGUAGUAACCUAAUACGUUGCUACUUUGACGUUACCGACAGAAUAAGCACCGGCUAACUUCGUGCCAGCAGCCGCGUUAAUACGAAGGGUGCAAGCGUUAAUCGGAAUUACUGGGCGUAAAGCGCGCGUAGGUGGUGCAGUAAGUUGGAAGUGAAAUCCCCGGGCUCAACCUGGGAACUGCUGUCAAAACUGCUGAGCUAGAGUACGGUAGAGGGUGGUGGAAUUUCCUGUGUAGCGGUGAAAUGCGUAGAUAUAGGCAGGAACACCAGUGGCGAAGGCGACCACCGGGACUGAUACUGACACUGAGGUGCGAAAGCGUGGGGAGCAAACAGGAUUAGAAACCCCUGUAGUCC